GACCUCAAAUCAGGUAGGACUUAAUCUAAUAGUUUUUAUUCGAGGAACAAGGGAUUUAAA
RNAcentral lists this ribosomal RNA (60 nucleotides) under Cordyceps gunnii. RNAcentral describes it as "partial 28S ribosomal RNA". Lineage: Eukaryota; Fungi; Ascomycota; Sordariomycetes; Hypocreales; Cordycipitaceae. The record is from RNAcentral.